RNAcentral lists this ribosomal RNA (458 nucleotides) under uncultured bacterium. Its description in RNAcentral is "bacterial SSU rRNA". It matches the Rfam family "Bacterial small subunit ribosomal RNA", at positions 364 to 832 of the family's 1533-position model. The record is from RNAcentral.
UUCGCAAUGCCCGAAAGGGUGAACGAGCGACGCCGCGUGGAGGAUGAAGGCCUUCGGGUUGUAAACUCCUGUCGAGGGGGAGGAAGGGGCAACCUUGACCGAUCCCUGGAGGAAGCACGGGCUAAGUUCGUGCCAGCAGCCGCGGUAAGACGAACCGUGCGAACGUUAUUCGGAAUCACUGGGCUUAAAGCGCGUGUAGGCGGAUGGGAACGUCGGUCUUUGAAAGCCCCCGGCUCAACCGGGGAAGCGGAGCCGAAACGACCGAUCUGGAGGGACGUAGGGGGACCUGGAACUUCCGGUGGAGCGGUGAAAUGCGUUGAGAUCGGAAGGAACGCCCGUGGCGAAAGCGGGGUCCUGGACGUCUGCUGACGCUGAGACGCGAAAGCUAGGGGAGCAAAUGGGAUUAGAUACCCCGGUAGUCCUAGCCGUAAACGAUGGGCACUAAGUAGAGGGGUUUU